CUGUUCAUUUCUUACCUAUUUGUUUUUAUUGUUAGAAAGCAAAAGGGUAGAAUGCAGACAAGGGAGUAAUCCAGAAUAUGUUAAGGAGUGUAAAACAAGAGUGCUCGUUCUAAAGUUCAAAUCAAUUGCAAAAUCACCAUUGUUUUGCCAGAUGAGUGUGUUGCAAUAGGUACAAUUGCUUGACAUUGAGUGACAAGGAGGGGAAAGAGAGAGAAAAAGAGAGAGAGCCAAGGCAAUUGCCAAAAUGCCAUUCUCAAUAACAAGCUAAUGUUGUUUUACAGAAAGGUUAGGAGGGUUGAGGUUCACAACUGACGAUGUUAAGUGAAUGUGAUGAUAAAUAAUAAGAGAAGCCAAGAGUUAUGCAAGAUAGAGACGUUCGUCAACGAGGCCUGGUAUUUAGUGGGAAAUCCAUUUUGAAAAGCUUAGGAAACCCCAAGGAUUAAACUAAACAUAAGCCAUUUUUGUUGGCACUUCCACCUUAAUAAAAGAAAUCUAGUGUCUAUUGGAGAUGUGUUUCACUAACACUGGCCAUUUACAACUAGCUUUUUUUGACACUCAGUCUUUGGCAAGUGUUAGUGUGAAGACCCUACUUUGUCGGCAUUGAACUAAUACUGUUUUUUUUUACAGUUAGUGUUUCGGUUUCCCGUUGGUAGGUGGCGUAAAGGAUAUUUUUAUUUUUUUUAUUAUUUCCAUUUUUAGUUCAGAGGUGGCGUCAAGGAACUUUUUUAAGCUUCCUAUUGUUUCUGUUUGUCGUUCAUAGGUGGAAAGAAUGUUUUUCCAAAAUGGCUCACUUUGCGGUCCAUAGGUGGCGCAUUUGUUUUUUUUAAUGGUCCCGUUAAUUAGCGUGCGCGAAAUGUUUCGACUUCCCGUUCAUAGGUGGAAGACAAGUACGAACCAUGUCACACUGACUUGAGAGCAUAGUAAAGUGUUACUCAUGUCGCUUAUAUAACGAGUGGCACGUUAAUAAUCUUGUAAUGCCAAUGCUUUCUCCCUCAGCUCUUUGCUAUGAUCAUUGUGGGUUGGAUUAAAGAGCAAAAUCCACAGAGAAACUGAAAUUCAUUAUUGUCAUGUCAUUACAUCAUCCAUUGUUUUCAGAAAUAGGAGCAGUACAAUUGGCAGCCAUAAAGCUUUGUAGUUUCGAAGAAUUUUAGUUUUGUCUGGUGAGUGGUUUAUAAUGUUGCCCAUUCUAUUGUUAACUUUUUUUGUAGGUUAAUGCCAUAAAACAUUUAUUUUGAGACUUUGAGUACCGCCUAUCCUUAUAACAAUGGAACACUAAUGUUGACUACAUUGCAGAAACAAAAAUGAACAUAUGUGCAACAGGUAUUUUUUGUGAAAUGAAACGAAGUUUUUAUUGAUUUCAGAUUUGCUGUUAAAAUGUUUAUUGUUACCUUGCGAAAAAGUGUGCUCAUUCGUUAUAGUAUUCUAAAAAUAAUUCUGUAAUUGAUGAAUGCUAUGAAGGUGA
Long non-coding RNA from Daphnia carinata, 1462 nucleotides. RefSeq lists it as uncharacterized. The record is from RefSeq and is a predicted model, not a curated record. NCBI's taxonomy places the organism in Eukaryota, Metazoa, Arthropoda, Branchiopoda, Diplostraca, Daphniidae. The transcript has 5 exons.